UACAGAGGGGGCAAGCGUUAUUCGGAAUUAUUGGGCGUAAAGGGCGCGUAGGCGGCCUUGUAAGUCUUGGGUGAAAUCCCUCAGCUCAACUGAGGAACUGCCUCGGAUACUGCAGGGCUUGAGGCCGGGAGAGGGUAGUGGAAUUCCCAGUGUAGCGGUGAAAUGCGUAGAUAUUGGGAGGAACACCGGUGGCGAAGGCGGCUACCUGGACCGGUUCUGACGCUGAUGCGCGAAAGCGUGGGUAGCAAACAGG
RNAcentral lists this ribosomal RNA (253 nucleotides) under uncultured bacterium. Its description in RNAcentral is "partial 16S ribosomal RNA". It matches the Rfam family "Bacterial small subunit ribosomal RNA", at positions 524 to 776 of the family's 1533-position model. The record is from RNAcentral.